UAGAUGCUUUGUAAUUGAAGGAGGAUGGUUUGAAUGACUGUCAAUGAAAAGUGGUUCAUUGUUAGGCUUUCGGUAGGGUUGGUAGCUUUCAGUCAUUCAAACCAUCCUCCUUCAAUUACAAAGCAUCUACCAUCUU
Non-coding RNA from Paramuricea clavata, 136 nucleotides. NCBI's taxonomy places the organism in Eukaryota, Metazoa, Cnidaria, Anthozoa, Malacalcyonacea, Plexauridae. The record is from the annotation of a GenBank genome assembly.